Long non-coding RNA from Megalobrama amblycephala (Wuchang bream), 1648 nucleotides. RefSeq lists it as uncharacterized. The transcript has 6 exons. Lineage: Eukaryota; Metazoa; Chordata; Actinopteri; Cypriniformes; Xenocyprididae. The record is from RefSeq and is a predicted model, not a curated record.
UCAUAAUAAUAAUAAUAAUAAUAAUAAUAAUAACAUUUAUUUUAAUUCUAUUAAGUAUAUUUGAAAGUAUAUUAUUAAAAUAAAAUAAUACUUUAUUAAUAAAAUAAAGUCAGCAAUCAGAAACGCAUGAAAUGUAAGUAACACACCACCUGAAAUGAUAAAUACACCUAAAACAUUCAUUACUCACAGUCCCAUAAGCCCCUGCAUUCAUUUUCUUGUUAACUUGAGUUUUGCUUUCACGAGCAGGUAAAUCAAUAAUGAUUGAACUUCCGAAAACAAGAAAGCAGCAAACUGUCUGUGUGAUAAACAGGCUCGUCAACUCUAUUAAUAUAUUUAAUCAAUGACUAAUGAGGCGAUGAGUCAAUUCUUAUUUAUCGGACAUGCUGUCUUCACACAAACUGACAAAUAUGUCAGGACACUCCCACACAGUUUACUAAUAUUUAUCAGAACCGACAGGAGCCAUAAAGUCGAGGACAAUGUGCUGACGUGUCACAUCUGCUGAACUUGUAAUUGGUGUGUUUCCGAUUAACAAGGCAACCAGGAGUCAACUCAGCUGAUGAAGAAGCCUUCAGAGACCGCAGCCAAUCAGAGCUCAGCUCCUCAGCACCUCUUAAGAGUUACUGAGUGUGGUUCAUUAUCUGCUCUGAUUUGCAUGAGUUGGUUCAGAACCACCAGGGAAAUAGUGAGGAACACACCAGCUGUGAACAUCAGUCGAACAUGAAACUGACUCAGAUAUUUGUAUCUAAGGUAAGCUUUUCCACUGAGUUUCUUAAAUGUUGGUUAAAGUUCUGUCUGUUCUUCUCGCAAAACUUUAUGGCUUCAAAUGACUUGGAAUAUAGUGGCCACACCCUUAAAAAUAAAUGUUAUUUAUUGGCAUCUAUGGUUCCAUGAAGAACCGUUAGCAUCCAUGCACGGUCAUGAACUUUGAUGGAAAUAAGCUAUGUGAAGAUUCUUCAAAAUUCCCGUUUUGUGUGGAAGAAAUAGUAAUACAGGUUUGGAAAACUUGAAGGGGCUUGAGUUUUGCAGUAUUGAUCGGAAUGUUUUAUUCACCUCAUUGCUGAAAAUCUCAAUACUUUAUUUUGUAUUCUGUCCUUUCAUUCAUCCCUAAUUCUUACUAUUUUACACCAUCAUCAUUUUCCCCCUCUCUAUUCUAAGUAAGCUAAAUGUUUCAGCAGCUACCGUCUCUGUGGCAGGUUAAAUUAGGCAGAAAUGAUCACUCCUGGGAGCUGAGAGGAUGCGGCAGGAUGUGUAAAACAGACGGAGGAAGAAUCCCAGUACCUGGAAACACAUACUCUGUUCUCUAGAAAGACAGCUGACCUAGUUCCCAGAGAACAUGUUUCCAGCCUGCAGGCCUCCAGUUAAAUGCUGAUCAUUAAAGCAACAACAAAGCUUUGUCCACAAAUGCUCCCUGCGGAGAAUCUGGAACACCCUUCCAUACUGUGAUGGACUUGGGAUAACCAGGAUCCAUCGUUCUCAUGUCUUCGUUAUAUCUCCAAUACCUGCAUAUAGAAGUAGGUCUUGGCUACGUCCUCCCACCAGACGGCUGUCUCUAUACUCUGUGCUGGCAUGCCGUUUCCAAACAUUGAGAUGUCCUGGGGGUAGCCAGGCUGUAGCAUUGUGUCCUUGAACACCCAGAACUGCUUCCCUA